RNAcentral lists this long non-coding RNA (1410 nucleotides) under Nicotiana benthamiana. Its description in RNAcentral is "long non-coding RNA (NBEN_LNC003666)". Lineage: Eukaryota; Viridiplantae; Streptophyta; Magnoliopsida; Solanales; Solanaceae. The record is from RNAcentral.
UUUCAGCUCGUACACAUCAAACAACAACAAGAACAACAACCCAGUAUAAUCCCACUUAGUGGGGUCUGGAGAGGGUAGUGUGUACGCAGACCUUAUCCCUACCCUGGGGUAGAGAGGCUGUUUCCAAAUAGCCCCGGGCAUCCUUCCCUCCAAGAACUUCCCACCUUGCUCUUGGGGAGACUCGAACUCACAACCUCUCGGAUGGAAGUGGGGGUUGCUUACCAUCAAACAAAUGAAGAAAUUAUCUAUCCACUGAUAUUCUGCUUAUUGUCACUUGGAGAUGGCUUUUUCCAUAUGAGUUAUUCAACUAGGACAAGCGCAUGAUUCAGCGACAUAAGAAUAGUACAAGUCUGCCUCUUCCUAUACCUUAACCUGCAAAAGUGAACGACAUUGAUAAAAUCCAUCAAGGCAUUUACCUGCGAGAGAAGAUUCCAAAACUGUCUGCUAUAGCAACAUCAAAUAGACACCUGAAUAUACAUGGUGUUUACACUUGAAAAGUAUCAUUUGGCAUCACGAUUCUAAUUCUCUUCUGUCCCCAUCCUCUCCGCAAUUGGACAUGGCAUUUAACCGCUUUUGCAACUGGUAGCAGAUGAAAAAUCAUUGUUAAUAAAUGAGAAAACACUGAGAUACUGUCAAUAAACCUCUUCCGUUCGUCCGUCCCUCCCUACUUUCUUUCAAGUGUUGUUACUUUAGCCCUAGUUUUUGAACCUGAACGUCAUCAAGAGGAAGAGAUAUCUCCACACCAUUGGUGUUCUUUUAGUUAUUAUUAUUUAUGAAAACAUUUCCCAGAAUUGCUUUUUCUCAUGUUUGGGAAGAAAAGAAAUGUUUUAAGAAUUUUGGAGACAACAAGAAGCCUAGUGAAAUCCCACAAGUGGGGUCUGGGGAGGGUGAAGUGUACGCAGACCUUACCCCUACCUAAUGAAGAUAGAGAGGUUGUUUCCGUAAGAUCCCCGGCUCAAAAGAAGUGAAGUCAUAUUUUUGCAACAAUCCUUCUUUGGGAAAGAUCAGGAAACAACAACAACAACAACCCAAUAUAAUCCCACUUAAUGGGAUCUGGGGAGGGUAGUGUGUACGCAGACCUUACCCCUACCUGGGGAUAGAGAGGCUGUUUCCAAAUAAACCCCGGCAUCCUUCCCUCCAAGAACUUCCCACCUUGCUCUUGGGGAGACUCGAAAUCACAACCCCUCGGUUGGAAGUGGGGUUGCCCUCCUCUUCUCCUUCAACUCUCCCAAUUGGUACUCAACGUUAGAAAGCUGUGCAUUUUCUUUUCUCCUUCCCUCUUUUACUUUUUUCUGGUCCUAUUGUCCAAAAAGUAGUUUGGUGUAUGUUUAACCACAAUAGACAUUUUGUUAUCCAUUCUUCCUUUCUUCAAUCCAAUUAAAAUUAGAGAGACCUUUGUAUUGAAGAAAC